UUGGUUAAGUUAGAAAGGGCGCACGGUGGAUGCCUUGGCACUAGGAGCCGAAGAAGGACGGGACUAACACCGAUAUGCUUUGGGGAGCUGUACGUAAGCGUUGAUCCAGAGAUUUCCGAAUGGGGGAACCCACUAUCUUUAGUCGGAUAGUAUCCUUACGUGAAUACAUAGCGUGAGGAAGGCAGACCCAGGGAACUGAAACAUCUAAGUACCUGGAGGAAGAGAAAGAAAAAUCGAUUUCCUGAGUAGCGGCGAGCGAAACGGAAAGAGCCCAAACCAAGAAGCUUGCUUCUUGGGGUUGUAGGACACUCUAUACGGAGUUACAAAAGAAAGUUAUAAAUGAAGCGGUCUGGAAAGGCCCGCCAAAGACGGUAACAGCCCGGUAGUUGAAAUGGCUUUCCCUCCAGAGUGGAUCCUGAGUACGGCGGAACACGUGAAAUUCCGUCGGAAUCCGGGAGGACCAUCUCCCAAGGCUAAAUACUCCCUAGUGACCGAUAGUGAACCAGUACCGUGAGGGAAAGGUGAAAAGCACCCCGGAAGGGGAGUGAAACAGUUCCUGAAACCGUGUGCCUACAAGUAGUUAGAGCCCGUUAAUGGGUGAUAGCGUGCCUUUUGUAGAAUGAACCGGCGAGUUACGAUUUGUUGCAAGGUUAAGCGGAAAAAGCGGAGCCGUAGCGAAAGCGAGUCUGAAUAGGGCGCAUAAGUAACAGGUCGUAGACCCGAAACCAGGUGAUCUACCCAUGUCCAGGAUGAAGGUAAGGUAAUACUUACUGGAGGUCCGAACCCACGCACGUUGAAAAGUGCGGGGAUGAGGUGUGGGUAGCGGAGAAAUUCCAAUCGAACUUGGAGAUAGCUGGUUCUCUCCGAAAUAGCUUUAGGGCUAGCCUCGAGGUAAAGAGUCAUGGAGGUAGAGCACUGUUUGGACUAGGGGCCCUUCUCGGGUUACCGAAUUCAGAUAAACUCCGAAUGCCAUGUACUUAUACUCGGGAGUCAGACUGCGAGUGAUAAGAUCCGUAGUCGAAAGGGAAACAGCCCAGACCACCAGUUAAGGUCCCCAAAUAUAUGUUAAGUGGAAAAGGAUGUGGGGUUGCUUAGACAACCAGGAUGUUGGCUUAGAAGCAGCCACCAUUGAAAGAGUGCGUAAUAGCUCACUGGUCGAGUGACCCCGCGCCGAAAAUGUACCGGGGCUAAACAUAUUACCGAAACUGUGGAUGAACCUCUUUAGAGGUUCGUGGUAGGAGAGCGUUCUAAGGGCGGUGAAGUCAGACCGGAAGGACUGGUGGAGCGCUUAGAAGUGAGAAUGCCGGUAUGAGUAGCGAAAGAAGGGUGAGAAUCCCUUCCACCGAAUAUCUAAGGUUUCCUGAGGAAGGCUCGUCCGCUCAGGGUUAGUCGGGACCUAAGCCGAGGCCGAUAGGCGUAGGCGAUGGACAACAGGUAGAGAUUCCUGUACCAGUGCUAAUUGUUUAACCGAUGGGGUGACACAGAAGGAUAGGGAAUCGCACGAAUGGAAAUGUGCGUCCAAGCAGUGAGUGUGAGAAGUAGGCAAAUCCGCUUCUCGCGAAGCAUGAGCUGUGAUGGGGAAGGAAAUUAAGUACGGAAGUUCCUGAUUUCACGCUGUCAAGAAAAGCCUCUAGGAAGAGUAGUACUGCCCGUACCGCAAACCGACACAGGUAGAUGAGGAGAGAAUCCUAAGGUGAGCGAGAGAACUCUCGUUAAGGAACUCGGCAAAAUGACCCCGUAACUUCGGGAGAAGGGGUGCUCUAUUAGGGUGCAAGCCCGAGAGAGCCGCAGUGAAUAGGCCCAGGCGACUGUUUAGCAAAAACACAGGUCUCUGCAAAACCGUAAGGUGACGUAUAGGGGCUGACGCCUGCCCGGUGCUGGAAGGUU
Molecule: ribosomal RNA, 1887 nt
Filed under: Listeria monocytogenes
Lineage: Bacteria; Bacillati; Bacillota; Bacilli; Caryophanales; Listeriaceae
Description: bacterial LSU rRNA
Rfam family: Bacterial large subunit ribosomal RNA
Source: RNAcentral